This 468-nucleotide ribosomal RNA is filed under the name uncultured bacterium. RNAcentral's name for it is "partial 16S ribosomal RNA". It matches the Rfam family "Bacterial small subunit ribosomal RNA", at positions 28 to 507 of the family's 1533-position model. The record is from RNAcentral.
GACGAACGCUGGCGGCGUGCUUAACACAUGCAAGUCGAACGGAAAGGCCCUGCUUUUGUGGGGUGCUCGAGUGGCGAACGGGUGAGUAACACGUGAGUAACCUGCCCUUGACUUUGGGAUAACUUCAGGAAACUGGGGCUAAUACAGGAUAGGAGCUCCUGCUGCAUGGUGGGGGUUGGAAAGAUUCGGCGGUUGGGGAUGGACUCGCGGCUUAUCAGCUUGUUGGUGGGGUAGUGGCUUACCAAGGCUUUGACGGGUAGCCGGCCUGAGAGGGUGACCGGCCACAUUGGGACUGAGAUACGGCCCAGACUCCUACGGGAGGCAGCAGUGGGGAAUAUUGCACAAUGGGCGGAAGCCUGAUGCAGCAACGCCGCGUGCGGGAUGACGGCCUUCGGGUUGUAAACCGCUUUCGCCUGUGACGAAGCGUGAGUGACGGUAAUGGGUAAAGAAGCACCGGCUAACUACGUG